UGGCGGGCAGGCCUAACACAUGCAAGUCGAGCGGCAGCACGGGUACUUGUACCUGGUGGCGAGCGGCGGACGGGUGAGUAAUGCCUAGGAAUCUGCCUGGUAGUGGGGGAUAACGCUCGGAAACGGACGCUAAUACCGCAUACGUCCUACGGGAGAAAGCAGGGGACCUUCGGGCCUUGCGCUAUCAGAUGAGCCUAGGUCGGAUUAGCUAGUUGGUGAGGUAAUGGCUCACCAAGGCGACGAUCCGUAACUGGUCUGAGAGGAUGAUCAGUCACACUGGAACUGAGACACGGUCCAGACUCCUACGGGAGGCAGCAGUGGGGAAUAUUGGACAAUGGGCGAAAGCCUGAUCCAGCCAUGCCGCGUGUGUGAAGAAGGUCUUCGGAUUGUAAAGCACUUUAAGUUGGGAGGAAGGGCAGUUACCUAAUACGUGAUUGUUUUGACGUUACCGACAGAAUAAGCACCGGCUAACUCUGUGCCAGCAGCCGCGGUAAUACAGAGGGUGCAAGCGUUAAUCGGAAUUACUGGGCGUAAAGCGCGCGUAGGUGGUUUGUUAAGUUGAAUGUGAAAUCCCCGGGCUCAACCUGGGAACUGCAUCCAAAACUGGCAAGCUAGAGUAUGGUAGAGGGUGGUGGAAUUUCCUGUGUAGCGGUGAAAUGCGUAGAUAUAGGAAGGAACACCAGUGGCGAAGGCGACCA
This 698-nucleotide ribosomal RNA is filed under the name Pseudomonas sp. RNAcentral's name for it is "bacterial SSU rRNA". It matches the Rfam family "Bacterial small subunit ribosomal RNA", at positions 37 to 727 of the family's 1533-position model. Lineage: Bacteria; Pseudomonadati; Pseudomonadota; Gammaproteobacteria; Pseudomonadales; Pseudomonadaceae. The record is from RNAcentral.